CCUACGGGAGGCAGCAGUGGGGAAUAUUGGACAAUGGGCGAAAGCCUGAUCCAGCCAUGCCGCGUGUGUGAAGAAGGCCUUCGGGUUGUAAAGCACUUUCAGUGGGGAAGAAAGCCUUGGGGCUAAUACCCUCGAGGAAGGACAUCACCCACAGAAGAAGCACCGGCUAACUCCGUGCCAGCAGCCGCGGUAAUACGGAGGGUGCGAGCGUUAAUCGGAAUUACUGGGCGUAAAGCGCGCGUAGGCGGUCUGAUAAGCCGGUUGUGAAAGCCCCGGGCUCAACCUGGGAAUGGCAUCCGGAACUGUCAGGCUAGAGUGCAGGAGAGGAAGGUAGAAUUCCCGGUGUAGCGGUGAAAUGCGUAGAGAUCGGGAGGAAUACCAGUGGCCAAGGCGGCCUUCUGGACUGACACUGACGCUGAGGUGCGAAAGCGUGGGUAGCAAACAGGAUUAGAUACCCGGGUAGUC
Molecule: ribosomal RNA, 465 nt
Filed under: Vreelandella stevensii
Lineage: Bacteria; Pseudomonadati; Pseudomonadota; Gammaproteobacteria; Oceanospirillales; Halomonadaceae
Description: partial 16S ribosomal RNA
Rfam family: Bacterial small subunit ribosomal RNA
Source: RNAcentral